Molecule: ribosomal RNA, 306 nt
Filed under: Triticum aestivum (bread wheat)
Lineage: Eukaryota; Viridiplantae; Streptophyta; Magnoliopsida; Poales; Poaceae
Description: partial small subunit ribosomal RNA
Source: RNAcentral
AUGUAUGGAAUUGCGCCCGGAAAUACACAUGCUUUGCUUUUUGAAAUCACAAAAAUGGUAGAAUCAUACAUGCGGCAGGCAAAUUUGGUUUUGCCACCUGGAUACGAUGUUACCUGGUUUUGUAACCAGUUUCUGGGCGUGGAUUCUUUUAAGGAUCUAAAGGAUACUUUCGUAGAUUUACAUUUCAAGGGGCGCGAAAGCUUAACUUGGAACACGGGCUUUGUUAAUUUUUAUAACGAAAUAUGGAGGGCCGAAGACUCCCCGCCGGGUAGCGCUGGAGGUGGAAAGUCAGUGCCAAAUGCAUGA